RNAcentral lists this ribosomal RNA (554 nucleotides) under uncultured incertae sedis 5 bacterium. Its description in RNAcentral is "bacterial SSU rRNA". It matches the Rfam family "Bacterial small subunit ribosomal RNA", at positions 97 to 647 of the family's 1533-position model. The record is from RNAcentral.
GGCGAACGGGUGAGUAGCGCAUCGGAACGUGCCCAGUAGUGGGGGAUAGCUCGGCGAAAGCCGGAUUAAUACCGCAUACGACCCAUGGGUGAAAGCGGGGGACCGCAAGGCCUCGCGCUAUUGGAGCGGCCGAUGCCCGAUUAGCUAGUUGGUGAGGUAAAGGCUCACCAAGGCAACGAUCGGUAGCUGGUCUGAGAGGACGACCAGCCACACUGGGACUGAGACACGGCCCAGACUCCUACGGGAGGCAGCAGUGGGGAAUUUUGGACAAUGGGGGAAACCCUGAUCCAGCCAUGCCGCGUGCGGGAAGAAGGCCUUCGGGUUGUAAACCGCUUUUGGCAGGAACGAAACGGCGCGCGCUAAUACCGCGCGCUAAUGACGGUACCUGCAGAAUAAGCACCGGCUAACUACGUGCCAGCAGCCGCGGUAAUACGUAGGGUGCAAGCGUUAAUCGGAAUUACUGGGCGUAAAGCGUACGCAGGCGGCUGUGCAAGACAGGUGUGAAAUCCCCGGGCCCAACCUGGGAACUGCACUUGUGACUGCAUGGCUAGAGU